This 492-nucleotide ribosomal RNA is filed under the name uncultured bacterium. Its description in RNAcentral is "partial 16S ribosomal RNA". It matches the Rfam family "Bacterial small subunit ribosomal RNA", at positions 29 to 507 of the family's 1533-position model. The record is from RNAcentral.
AGUGAACGCUGGCGGUAGGCCUAACACAUGCCAGUCGAACGGCAGCACAGUAAGAGCUUGCUCUUACGGGUGGCGAGUGGCGGACGGGUGAGGAAUACAUCGGAAUCUACUUUUUCGUGGGGGAUAACGUAGGGAAACUUACGCUAAAACCGCAUACGACCUACGGGUGAAAGCAGGGGAUCUUCGGACCUUGCGCGAUUGAAUGAGCCGAUGUCGGAUUAGCUAGUUGGCGGGGUAAAGGCCCACCAAGGCGACGAUCCGUAGCUGGUCUGAGAGGAUGAUCAGCCACACUGGAACUGAGACACGGUCCAGACUCCUACGGGAGGCAGCAGUGGGGAAUAUUGGACAAUGGGCGCAAGCCUGAUCCAGCCAUACCGCGUGGGUGAAGAAGGCCUUCGGGUUGUAAAGCCCUUUUGUUGGGAAAGAAAAGCAGCAGGUUAAUACCCCGCUGUUCUGACGGUACCCAAAGAAUAAGCACCGGCUAACUUCGUG